AGGAGCGAGAGUUGAGGAAAGAAGUGCAUGUGAGACAGAGAAAGAAAAAGACAGAGGGAGAGAGACAGCAAGAGAAUCUGCACUGUUUGUGGCCUUCUGCCAGUUAAAAGUUCUCACUGUUCCCUCAGUGCUGGUGUUUAAUCAGAAGCAAAAAAAAAAAAAAAAAACUCCUUUCAGCUGGUUUUCAUGAGCAAUCUCCACCACCACAAUAGCUGUAAGAAGUUUAAACAGAACCUGUCAACAGCCAGGCCAUGACGCACCAAGAGAACUGUCAGCCAUCAGGACAAGAACAGUCAUGAUAACUGCAUGAUAAAAGAGUCAGAGUGCCGUCCACUGCCGAAAGCACCUACAAUGGGUGUGUGAGCAUCAGAACUGGAGCAUGGAGCAAUGGAAGAAGGUGGCCUGGUCUGAUUAAUCACUUUUCUUUUACAUCACAUGGACAGCUGGGUGGGUGUGUGUUGCUUAAAUGGGGAAGAGAUGGCACAGGGAUGCACUAUGGGAAGAAGGCAAGCCGGUGGAGGCAAUGUGAUGCUCUGGGAAACCUUGGGUCCUGGCAUGCAUGUGGAUGACACGUACCACCUACCUAAACAUUGUUGCAGACCCCCCCCCGGCAACGGUAUUCCCAAAUGGCAGUGGCCUAUUUCGGCAGGAUAAUGUGUCCUGCCACACUGCAAAAACUGUUCUGGAAUGGUUUGAGGAACAUGACAAAGAGUUCAAGAUGUUGACUUGGCCUCUAAAUUCCCCAGAUCUCAAUCCGAUCAAGCAUCUGUGGGAUGUGCUGGAGAAACAAGUCCAAUCCAUGGAGGCCCCACUUCGUGACUUACAGGAUUUAAAGGAUCUGCUGCUAACGUCUUGGUGCCAGAUACCACAGCACACCUUCAGAGGUCUUGUGGAGUCCAUACCUCGACAGGUCAGAGCUGUUUUGGUGGCACGGGGGGCCUACACAAUAUUAAGCAUGUGGUUUUAAUUUUAUGGCUGGUCUGUCUGUCUGUCUGUCUAUCCAUCUAUCCAACCAUCCAACCAUCCUAUAGAUCAUAUCUAUCUAUCUAUCUAUCUAUCUAUCUAUCGAUCUAUCUAUCUAUGCAUAUAGUCUAAAGUACUUAACAUUAUUUUAUUUUUCUUAUUUUAUUUAGAUCUUCUAUUUUUAAUUAUGAUGGCUGGUAGGAAGUGCAAAGCAAUAAUCUCCUUGUACAGUGUAACUGUCUGUUCCCUCUACAUAUGUCAGUAAAGUCUUGAAUCUUAUACUGGCAAUAUCUGCUCCAAGGAACCUGCA
Ictalurus furcatus (blue catfish) is the source of this 1273-nucleotide long non-coding RNA. RefSeq lists it as uncharacterized. Lineage: Eukaryota; Metazoa; Chordata; Actinopteri; Siluriformes; Ictaluridae. The record is from RefSeq and is a predicted model, not a curated record. The transcript is spliced from 3 exons.